UUAAAAAUAGAAUAUUGACAUUACAAUAUACACCUAUCACUUCACACUCAGCACAUUCAGCACAGGAGGGCGGUAUGCACCGAAAAAGUUGGUAUGCGACCCGCCAGUAAAUCCAUGGAAGAAGAAAAAGAAGAAGAAAUGUAGAUAAUAAAUCAGACUGAUACAAAUAAUGUUUAGUAAAAGUCAAUCGCACAUAUAAAAUGUGUGUUUUUAUAAAGUCAGCCGGACUGAAUGUCAAAACAGCCUGAAAACAAACGACAUUCUCAACCUAAAGGAAGCGGAAAUUUGUUGUUACGCAAUUUGCAUAUCCUGGCGGCAACAUUCAUAAAAUGCGUUAAUGCUGCGCAUGUCUGAAAUAGAUCGCCACGCAAUUAAGCUUAAAACAAACAGAAUGCACGAUUGUAAGCCUAAAUGAGAUGGCCGCGCCAUAAACUGUAUUAAACAGCACACGAACAGCCGAGAUGACCGCGCCAUCAACUGAAUUAAACGGCAAACAAACGGAAUCCACGAUUUUAUCCACGAGAAGACAAGCGGUUGUCAAAGAAUCUCCACUUAUUGCUGACUUUAUGAGCAGAUGGCCGGCUUUGUUCCAAGAAAAUUAGGUUUGUGCUGAAUUUGUACGGGUAACAACUGUUGCCUUAAUUUCAAAAUUCUUCUCAAAGCUGGAUGAACACACUCCAAGUCUUCUGAGGAUCUUUGCCAAGAGAGGUGGAGCUCCGGGACAAAGGAUAAGGAAACUUCUUGUGCCACUUACACAGUGUGCCUGCAUUAAUGUUAAGAGGGAGUGUGUCCUCAAAGCCCUGUUUGUCUACCUAAAUGAGGAUCCUGACAAUCUCAUCAAGGAGUACAUGGAUGUAGAUUUUUGAAGCUGCACUCAAAGAAAUGGUGAUGGGUGUUUUUGUCAUCAGAUGUGAAGUUGGUGAUGAACCUGCGGAUGUUGGAGUAGUUCUUGAAGGAGUUACAGCACUAGAAGGGCUUGGUAAUGUAGCUAAUGGUGUUGCAUUGCUGGUUGGGCUUAUUUAUGCCCUAAAUCUUAGUUAUCCGAAGGAGUUUCGAUACACCUUUGAACUCCUGCAAAAAGUGUUCCUGGAGCUUGAUGGACACAAACUCUCCACCAAAGUUCAAGCCCUCAAGACCAAGCUUUUUACACCUCAUUAAAGGACUGAUGAACAGACUGAUCUUUACCUUGAAACUGUUUUUUGUCAAAUAGUCAAAACAUGUUCAUGUUCACACAUUUUUAAUGCCUUUAUUGAUUUGAUUUUUUUUUUUUUUUGUACAUCAAGGCAUAUGUGAAGAGGAAUAGUUUCCUUAAAAAUUACAUUUAUCCUUAACUCACCCAAAGAAGGUCAAGGAAAACCAUCAAGGGUUUCAAUGACUCAUGGGUUAGUUAAUGGUGACUAUUUUAAUUAUUUUUUUUUUUUUUGUCAAACUUGUCCUUUUAAACACUUUUUUCAAUGACGGUUUUAAUGGCUUCUGACUGUUCUUCAAGGAAAGAGGUUUGAAUGACAAUGUAUUUUAAAUAGUUUUCAAAGAUGUUCCACAUGGCACACAUUGUGUUUGCUUUUCCUUUACAAAAAUUAUCCAGGCACAUUUUGGAAUUAGAAUACAUUUACAGACAGCUUGAUGGACACAGGCAGUUUGAUAAAGUUUUGCACUUCAGUGGAGGCCUGAUGAACAAACAUAACCCAAACAUAAUAUUAUUUUUUUUCUUUGGAAUUGCAGGUUACUUUCUUUUUGUGAAAUGCAUUAAAAGUAAACACACUUUGCUUUUUUUAUUUUUUAUUAAUGGGUUGUACAUGUAGGAAUGUAAACCUGUUUGUUUCACUUUGCAUUGUAAAGGAAAACAUUU
Long non-coding RNA from Onychostoma macrolepis, 1849 nucleotides. RefSeq lists it as uncharacterized. The transcript has 7 exons. The record is from RefSeq and is a predicted model, not a curated record. NCBI's taxonomy places the organism in Eukaryota, Metazoa, Chordata, Actinopteri, Cypriniformes, Cyprinidae.